This 246-nucleotide ribosomal RNA is filed under the name uncultured bacterium. RNAcentral describes it as "partial 16S ribosomal RNA". It matches the Rfam family "Bacterial small subunit ribosomal RNA", at positions 87 to 334 of the family's 1533-position model. The record is from RNAcentral.
UAUGGCGACCGGCGCACGGGUGAGUAACACGUAUCCAACCUGCCGAUGACUCGGGGAUAGCCUUUCGAAAGAAAGAUUAAUACCCGAUGGCAUAGUUCUUCCGCAUGGUAGAACUAUUAAAGAAUUUCGGUCAUCGAUGGGGAUGCGUUCCAUUAGGUUGUUGGCGGGGUAACGGCCCACCUAGUCAACGAUGGAUAGGGGUUCUGAGAGGAAGGUCCCCCACAUUGGAACUGAGACACGGUCCAA